Molecule: transfer RNA, 65 nt
Filed under: Phytophthora megakarya
Lineage: Eukaryota; Oomycota; Peronosporomycetes; Peronosporales; Peronosporaceae
Rfam family: tRNA
About the family: Transfer RNA (tRNA) molecules are approximately 80 nucleotides in length. Their secondary structure includes four short double-helical elements and three loops (D, anti-codon, and T loops).
Source: Rfam by way of RNAcentral
ACCAAUGUUGCUCAACAGAGGAGCUACCGAAAGGAAAAAUGGAGGUUCGAUUCCUCCCGUUGGUA